ACCCGAGACUCAGUGAAAUUGAACUCGCUGUGAAGAUGCAGUGUACCCGCGGCUAGACGGAAAGACCCCGUGAACCUUUACUAUAGCUUGACACUGAACAUUGAGCCUUGAUGUGUAGGAUAGGUGGGAGGCUUUGAAGCGUGGACGCCAGUCUGCGUGGAGCCAACCUUGAAAUACCACCCUUUAAUGUUUGAUGUUCUAACGUUGGCCCCUGACCGGGGUUGCGGACAGUGUCUGGUGGGUAGUUUGACUGGGGCGGUCUCCUCCCAAAGCGUAACGG
This 280-nucleotide ribosomal RNA is filed under the name Acinetobacter baumannii. Its description in RNAcentral is "partial 23S ribosomal RNA". It matches the Rfam family "Bacterial large subunit ribosomal RNA", at positions 2024 to 2303 of the family's 2925-position model. Lineage: Bacteria; Pseudomonadati; Pseudomonadota; Gammaproteobacteria; Moraxellales; Moraxellaceae. The record is from RNAcentral.